Long non-coding RNA from Monodelphis domestica (gray short-tailed opossum), 294 nucleotides. RefSeq lists it as uncharacterized. NCBI's taxonomy places the organism in Eukaryota, Metazoa, Chordata, Mammalia, Didelphimorphia, Didelphidae. The record is from RefSeq and is a predicted model, not a curated record.
GUACAAUAUCAUCUUAUGAAUACAAGAGUGAGCAUGGCAUAGUGAUAGCCAGCCUCUAAAGCUUGGAAGCACUGGGUUCAAACCCCAUCUCUAAUACAUAAUAUCUGUGUGACCUCUGUUUUUCUUCAUUUUAGAUAAUAAGAUCCUGGAGAAAAGGGAAGAUUUCACAUUUUUCUUUCUACCUGCCUCCCUCAGAAGUGACUCCAUACACAGAAAUACAACAUAGAAGAUGACUAGGAAAUAUUUUCCUGGCUAGACAAGGCUCUUAAACAACAGUACAUUUUAGGGAACGGA